This is a long non-coding RNA of Pseudoliparis swirei, 3120 nucleotides long. RefSeq lists it as uncharacterized. The transcript has 2 exons. Lineage: Eukaryota; Metazoa; Chordata; Actinopteri; Perciformes; Liparidae. The record is from RefSeq and is a predicted model, not a curated record.
CGACACACAACAGUGAAGUCGUCGUACUCUAUUUUACCCGACUUGUUCACAUCACAGGCGGAAAAUAGUCUCCGAAGACUGGCUCAAGGCUCCUUGAAUGGAAGGCCUAGGCACUGUGGUGAAGUCCUUUGGGCCUGCAGAAGAUGAUGCUGGUGCAGAACGAAGAUCGGAGACCUCAGAACAAGACAGAAAGUCUCCACCGAUCAGCCUCCAUGCGUACGCGGCACCCCCGGGUCUCAGUUGAGAUCUGUGAAGAAUUAGGGAACAACAUUUAAAUUAGUGCUUUGUAUGAGCAAAUGUGUUGGGUUUUUUACUGAUCUGGAGAGAGAAGUAGAUUAAUCGAUUUGGUAAACGACUUUGAGAAUUGAUUCAUUGUUUUCAUUCUGCUGCUUUUCUUCAGUAGAUACUAUUUAAUAGUAAAUUAUUUUCGAAACAGCAAAAACAAACAUUUGAGGAUGUCCCUUCCGAUAUAUUAGCAAUCUAUAAUGCUUUUUUAAUUAUUUGGUACAAUUUUCAAAAUGUACAAUGCACAAUUUCUUUAUCAUUCGAAGGAAUAUUAGCAGAUUGAUAACGACAAUUAUCGUUGUACCAUCAUACGCACCAUCCUGUCGCAGCUGAAGGGCACUAUGUUAAAAAUAUGUCUUUCCAUGCCACAGUGUGCUGCAAGUCUUUCUCAUGACAACAAUACAAAACAAUCCACAUUAUAUUUGGCAGUUGGAGUGUCAAAAGACUAAAAGAAACUCAUCUGUGGGGCUCAGGAUGACCUUUAACCUCUCCAAACUACAGAUAUGAGGUUAUGUAGAACUGAUUUUAGUUUCUGUUCAGAGAAAUGAGCAAUAGAUAUGCGUUUACUGAUCAUUCACAGAAAAAACUAUAUGAAUGGGCUUUGCUGCAGGACGUGUUUGAGCACAAUGCUCCGGUCAGGUUAUUUGAUAGUGUCGGGUUCUGACAAAACACCCUUACACUCCCAAAUCUUCUUAUCUGAUCUGCACGUAGCUGCUGUUUUGUGCACUGAGCAGGAAAGGGAAGACAUUUCUUGGAAAUCUUUGUUCGAGCUCAAAGACAAUGAAGAGGUGUGACACCCCAAUACAGCUCAUAUCAUGUGAAAUAGAGGAGUUUCUGUCUCAGUUGUCCUCGGUUGAACCUCAGUUAAAUUACUGAGUGUUGACACAAAAUAUCCACUAAUACUGUGAGAUGUUUUGACACCCAGAGGUCAUCCAGGGCUUGAGUUCUGAAUGCUUUAACUUGCAAAUAGGAAUUUAUGGACAAAGGUGUCCAAAGAAAAAAGGAAAUUGGUUUAAAUUUGUAUAGGCCUGCUGCUCAGUUUUCCUCAAAUCAAAAAAGAUCCCUACAGAUUCACUUUUAGGUUUUUUUGCCAUGUAAAUGGACACUGGCCCACUCCUGUAUCCACAGCUUCUUUAACAAUUCUUUAGAAAACAUCAGAACAAAGCCGCAAGACAACUAUGAUACCAAUAAUGCUGAUUAAAAGCGAGACGUGAAGGGGAAUUCAAUACAGACAUCCCUGUUAAAGUAGAUAUCACUCCCUAACAGCUGCCAGAGGGAGCUCCUCAUUAAAUUCAACCAACAGGAGAUUCAGUUUCAUGUGAGGUAGCCUAUGGCAAUCAAAAGUGAAAGGUAGUGAGAGAAGCUAUUCCUGGUUUCUAUGACGAGGCUUCUGACUCUUAGUCAAUAAGCAGUCUGAUGCUUGUUGCAAAAACUGACAUCUCCAAAUCUGAGCUGGAAAGAUAACAUUUGAAGGAGCAGGAAGGCCAUAAGGGAGGCCAGAGAACAAGACAGAAAGGGUUAUUUCUACAGCAGUUAGGACACACAUUAUUUGUGAAUUUGAGAAACACAGGCAGAGAUACUUUCUUCUGUCAAUUUAGUCUCCAAAAGGAUGAAUAACACUUACUGGACAAAUGGUGUCUUGUUCCUCUGAGUUAAGUGGUUUGAAAUAGGCUAAAACUCUAAAACGAAAUAGAAUCAAGUAUGUCUGGACAUUGAAGAAUGUCAACCUCCAGCCACGAGAACGGGCAUCUUAAUGGUCAUGAGGAGCAAAGCAGACAAGGUUACAAGCUUCUGCUUUUAAACCAUUCGGUCACUGUCUGAAGCCGCCGUGAUGUCAGUGGACUAUAACGUGUAAUAGACGAGGAGGGUGGCCGCAUGCAUCAUUAACAUCCUUUGUGUGGAACAAUUAAAAAUGAGACACCACUUGUGAAGCUCACAUUAAUACUGAGUCUGUGUGACAGUCAGAAAAAGAGGCCUGCAUGCAUCAAACUGAAUCCAACUGAGGUACAUGGAGAGAGCUCGACUGAGAGAACAAGGGCCCCUCUGACAGCCCCGAAAUCUAUAUGCAACUCUGCACUUCACUGCUCUCUCCUGCAUGACGCAUGAACUGAAUCAUCCCUUUCACUCUCUACACAGAUGUGCUAGUGUGCUCUGGCUAUGGAUGAUACUCUCCCAUCUCUCUGUCUAUGAUCUCCUCCAUAAAUUGUUCCAUGGUUUCCUUCGAUAUCCCCUCCAGCAACAUAUAUGCCUUAUCAGACCAGUUUGACAUAAUCAUUACUCAUGUCAAACUUGUACCACAGAUAUUAAAACAUUGAGGCGCUAAUCAAAAGCACAGAUUUGGUUUUAGUCGUUUCAAACCAAUUAUUGUCACAGAAGCUUUGAUAGAUGCUCAGUAGUGACUUUACAUCCGGGUAAUACAAUUAUACAUUGUCAUCUUCAAAUAAAAACAGAUUUUUUUUCAAACAUGCAAUGGAGGGUGAACGGUUUUCUACAUUUUGAGGAAGGUCCACAGAGUUUGCCUGUCAAGCUGACCAACCCCAACACCCUCCAUCAAUCAGAGGGUUUGGGCAGCCUGCAUGUGGCAGGAGAGGAGAAACCUGGGGCAAAGAAAGUUCAACAGGCACUCGCCACUGCUCACAAAGCUUGUGUUGCUGUAAGUUCAGGCUAAUGAUUGAAGAAUGUAUCAAUAUUUGUUGAAGUGGGGGGGAAAGAGUGGAAACCAAAGUUUGAAACUGAAUAUUUAGCUGUUGAAUGGAAAAUAAAGUUGUCCCUUUCUGACUGGCGGGCCAUUUGCUCACUAGCCCAUGAUGCAUAAAAGCAAUAGUUUUGAUAGUC